RNAcentral lists this ribosomal RNA (422 nucleotides) under uncultured bacterium. RNAcentral describes it as "bacterial SSU rRNA". It matches the Rfam family "Bacterial small subunit ribosomal RNA", at positions 355 to 774 of the family's 1533-position model. The record is from RNAcentral.
UGAGGAAUAUUGGUCAAUGGGUGCAAGCCUGAACCAGCCAUCCCGCGUGAAGGACGACUGCCCUAUGGGUUGUAAACUUCUUUUGUAUAGGGAUAAACCUACCCUCGUGAGGGUAGCUGAAGGUACUAUACGAAUAAGCACCGGCUAACUCCGUGCCAGCAGCCGCGGUAAUCCGGAGGGUGCAAGCGUUAUCCGGAUUUAUUGGGUUUAAAGGGUCCGUAGGCGGACUUAUAAGUCAGUGGUGAAAGCCUGUCGCUUAACGAUAGAACUGCCAUUGAUACUGUAAGUCUUGAGUAUAUUUGAGGUAGCUGGAAUAAGUAGUGUAGCGGUGAAAUGCAUAGAUAUUACUUAGAACACCAAUUGCGAAGGCAGGUUACCAAGAUAUAACUGACGCUGAGGGACGAAAGCGUGGGGAGCGAACA